This 853-nucleotide long non-coding RNA is filed under the name Homo sapiens (human). RNAcentral describes it as "HSALNT0399362". Lineage: Eukaryota; Metazoa; Chordata; Mammalia; Primates; Hominidae. The record is from RNAcentral.
ACCGCUCUCCAAGGACUCUCGAGCAGCUCCAUCUACAGAUUCACAUGGAGAAGAAUUAAGGGUUCCUGCCAAUCACCAGCACCACUUUGCCAGCCUUGUAAGUGGGCCACCUUGGAAUUGGAGCCUCCAGUUCCUACUGACAUCUGACUGCAACAUCAUGAGAGACCCUGAGUUUGAACCACCCAGCUGAGCUGCUUCUGAGCUAACCCACUGAAACCACAGUUGGCAUCUGUGUGAAGAUGUGAAUGGAGGAGGCAGAGUAGGCAGUGAGUGCCGCAGCCACAGCUUGUGUUCUCUGCAGCCCUGGCACAGAAGAUAGGAACACUCAUGGGGGAUGCGGCCACUGUGAUGUCUUCCCACACAAGAAGUGCCAAGUGCUUUUCUCAUGCUUUUCUGGAUUGUCCCAUGGUGGACGAGUCAGCAGGAGUGAGAUGGAGCAGCACAGUAGAGGGGUGUGCCACCUCUUUGAUCCAGCAAGUGGGAAGAACAGUCCCGGCCUCUUUGCACACAAGACCGUGAUACCAAUGCACCAUCACAGGCCCCACAGGGGAGCUGUCCGCUUCCCCACACAGCUGCUAGGGGCUCUUUUGCAUGUUCCCAACCUUUCCUGCCUUUAUCUGAUAUUCGUUCCUUAGAUCCUGGGAUGAGGAGGUGGACCAGCAGAAGGUGGGCUUGUGAAGGCAGCCCGGGGUCCAAAUCCUCCUGGCUCUUCAGCUUAGCGGGGUUGCUUAGACUCAGUGGUGUGCUGGAGCAGGCUCCUACCAGCUAGAAAGAACCAGUUCAAUACGUCUCUUCUCAACUCCAUGUUCAGAGUUGUCAGAGAACCAAUUGUUAAAUAUUUACUGGCACUCCA